CCUACGGGAGGCAGCAGUGGGGAAUAUUGGACAAUGGGGGCAACCCUGAUCCAGCCAUGCCGCGUGUGUGAAGAAGGCCCUCGGGUUGUAAAGCACUUUCAGGGAGGAAGAACGCCUGGUGGUUAAUACCCAUCAGGAAAGACAUCACUCACAGAAGAAGCACCGGCUAACUCCGUGCCAGCAGCCGCGGUAAUACGGAGGGUGCGAGCGUUAAUCGGAAUUACUGGGCGUAAAGCGCGCGUAGGUGGCUUGAUAAGCCGGUUGUGAAAGCCCCGGGCUCAACCUGGGAACGGCAUCCGGAACUGUCAAGCUAGAGUGCAGGAGAGGAAGGUAGAAUUCCCGGUGUAGCGGUGAAAUGCGUAGAGAUCGGGAGGAAUACCAGUGGCGAAGGCGGCCUUCUGGACUGACACUGACACUGAGGUGCGAAAGCGUGGGUAGCAAACAGGAUUAGAUACCCGAGUAGUC
Molecule: ribosomal RNA, 465 nt
Filed under: Vreelandella stevensii
Lineage: Bacteria; Pseudomonadati; Pseudomonadota; Gammaproteobacteria; Oceanospirillales; Halomonadaceae
Description: partial 16S ribosomal RNA
Rfam family: Bacterial small subunit ribosomal RNA
Source: RNAcentral